RNAcentral lists this long non-coding RNA (12137 nucleotides) under Nicotiana tabacum (common tobacco). RNAcentral describes it as "long non-coding RNA (NTAB_LNC002120)". The record is from RNAcentral. Lineage: Eukaryota; Viridiplantae; Streptophyta; Magnoliopsida; Solanales; Solanaceae.
ACUGGAAUAAAUAAAUGAUUCUUCGCAGCAGCUACAGUUUACCUUAUUGACAUAGUGGACUAGAAAGAGAUUAGCAGGUGCUGUUAUGCUUAAUUGCUCCGAACUUUGAAGUACUCUGACGGAAUUCUUUAUUGAUUAUGGGACAUCUAUUAUCUCAAUCAAGUUGAACAAGUGCGACUACCAUUAUAGAGAUGGGCUUUAAUUGAGAUAAUUGUCAUCAUACAAAAACUUAUAACUAACGUGGUUAAUACUUGGCUAAUAAAGCGGAAUCAAUGAAUUGUCAAAACAAUACAUACAAAUAGUGAAAUCAAAGGGAUAGAAAUUGCAGUUCACAGAGAACAUUUAUGUCGCUUUCAUCAAUAAUUGCUUUUGUGAACAUGGUUAGUCAUGAAAAUCUAAACCGCUAAUUUCUUUUGGUGACCAAGUACUGAUCAUAAAGCUUCAACUGGAAUACUUCCUGUUGAGGAUACUAAUAGUAUAAUCUCAAACUAUUAGGUAGGUGUAUUUUUUGAUUUUAUUUUAGAAAGUUAUUUAUAAAUGUGUGUGCUUUGAGUAUCUUGUAAGUUUAUUAUGUUUGUAUACAUGAUUAAACAACAACAACAACAACUAAGCCUCAGUCCCAAAUAACUAGGGGUUGGUUAUAUGAAUCAUCACUGGCUGUGUUUCUCUAUUUAAAUUCAUCUCAGGCCUUUAUAUGCAUGAUUAAAUAGAAUAAAUUUACGGUAAGAUCAAUAUUAUCCUUAUUUUAAUCCUUUGAUACAUUUAUUCAAUUUUCAUAGAAAAGGUGUACAAAGAAGAACCCUUCUUAAGGGAUGUGUUGAAUAUAUAUAGAAGGUUUGCAUAUGACCUCCCGUAGACGGGAAGUAUUUCCACUUGGCUAUGUAAAGAAUUCCAAUAUUAGGAAGUAUUGUAAUUGUAAAAGGCACUAUUUCCAUAUGAGUUAUGGAACCCGACACUAAAAUUUAAAAUAUAAAUUAGAAAGUUCUUCUAUUACAUGGUACAAAUGCCUGUGUGUAGCUUUUGUCUUAAACUACGAACAUCUUCUACUAGUGUCUGAUAUCAGUUACUCCUUCUAUCCCAAUUUAUGUGGCACCGUUUGGAUUUCGGAAGUCAUACUUCUUAAUUUCGACCGUGAAUUUGAACAUAGAAUCUUUCAGUUUUAUGCAAUAAAAUUUACAUGUUUGGAAACUAUGUAGAAAGUAUUAUAAGUCACAAUAAUUAACAAUUUAAAAUAUUUAAAAGGUAUAUGUAAUAUGACGGCCAAAGAAAAACUCGUUUGACUCUUGAAAUCCGAAUGAUGCCACAUAAAUUGGGACUGGGGGAGUAUAUUACUAUAUUACUACUAGAUAAGUGAGUUGCUUCGAUACGACAAUUUAGGUGCCGCGCCCGUGUCGACACGAUACUAGUGUGGGUGUGGGUAUGGGAUCCGCACCGGAUCUGGUCAAACGAUUUUGGGUACUUUGACCAUGAUGGACAGAAAAAUUCGAGACGAGAUACAAUUUGAUUCACGAAAUCAGAACAAAAACUAGAGUAAAUUUGGGAAAUCAAUCCCUUACUUUUUGCUUCUCCUCUUGAUUGAGCAGAAAGAGCAGCAAAGAGUGUCAAUUGAGAUUGGGGAAGACACAACGUUCGACAAUUUGGGAAAGUGCAAGACCUUUGACUUUAUUUGGAUAUUAUUAAUAUUUAAUAAUAUUGUACCCUUUGUAGUGAAAACUUGACACACACUAAGUCUGAUUUUUAUAAUAAUAAUUAGAGAACUAAUCUAAAUUAUGAAAAUUAAUAUUUAAUUGUAAACGAAAGAUAACUAUUAAAAAGUUAACUUGUAGGAGAAUCCGAGAAUGACUAAACUCAAUAAAUCAUGCCUACAACUUGAAAAAAUAUCCACACUUCACAAGUUAUAUAGCUAAGUAUUCCACAAAAUUUUCUCAUAAUUUAGAGAUAUUUUUAUUUUUUAUUUUUUGAAUUAUUUUUAGCUGGAUCCCUGCACCGGUAACCAUACUAGGAUCCGCAUCCCCGAAUCUUAGAACUUACAUCUCAAAGGAUCCAACCUCUAGAUCCGCACCCGUGUAGGACACCCGCACCUGUGUCCGAGCAACUUAGCUGGAUAAUCAUAGUCGAGAAGAUUCUUAGAUCAUAUAUGGGGCCUUCCUUUUUGGAAUGAGAAGCUCACAAGUAUUAAUUUAUCAUAAUCAAAUAGGAAACUUCAAUCUUCUAAUUACUUUGUUCGAAGUUAUAAAAGUUUUAUUCAGGAGUUACAUUUUGAGAAACUCUUGUUCCAAAACUCGACAUGGAAACCUUUUGCGUUCAUUAUUUAUUACUCCAUCUAUUACUUUACUUCAAAUAUAUUCUUGUAAAAAUAAUUUGAAAAUCAUUUUCUCUAUUUUUGGAUGUAUUUUUCUUCAACCUUUACCUGUUCUAGUCGAAGUAAGACAAUAAACAUGGGAUAGGAAGGGUAUGAAUCUUGUUGUUGAUGCUGAUAAGUGUCCUAGUUAGAGGAACAGGUUUUGACGAUCAAAAGCUAACAUUUUGGUAUUAUGAAUGUGCCUUUUAGCUAAGGUUUGUUCUGUACCAUUUAUGCUUCACAUAGUUGUAACAUCACAUGGUAUAGCCAAUGGAGGUGAAAAGAUGAAAACGGGUUUGCAGGUAAGAGAAGGAAACUUGAUCUGAAAGCCAGCUACCUGGAUUAAGUGUUUUACUUAUGAAGCCUAAGUUGCAAGGUUUAUAUUAACCUAUCAUUUAAAAUUUUGCCACUUCCCACCUUCCUUUACAAGGGAAAAAUAUUUUCACCCGUUUUGCUCCUCUCUUUUCGUUUCAAGCUUUUUUUCAUCAGUGCUCAAUCUGAACUUGCUCUUUCUUGUGCUCCUCGCACCCCACACACACGCACACACACAACGGAAAAAGAAGAAAGAAAGAAAAAUAAAAAUGUUGAAAAGGGAGAUCAAGACAUGGCAUGUUUAAGCAGUGAGCGGAUGAAGACACGAAAUAGAUCAAUAGGAUCUUAUCUAGAGGAUUCUAUCUUACAGACUGAGCAGCAACUGCGAUGUUACCUGCUCUCAAGGAACUUACAUGACUGGCUAUUGGGUCAUGAACUGAGGGUUUAUAAUAUUUUCUGGCGUUUCCAGAAUUGAGAUGGGUUUCAAUAAUUGAACUCAUUCCCUCUAUGUUUGCUGUGCUACCAGUUGGCUAGAUAUUGUGAUACGAGUUUUUUAAUGUAUUGAAGAUUGUUAACUGUCAUCUACUUCGCGUUAAAUUUUGGGACUCCGCCACUAAUCAAGUGUAUACAUCUUAUCUGAAGUGUGCCAUAUUGCAUUUUCUGGUGCAUUACAGAAAAGCUCAAUGCUAAUAAUCUUCUCAGAUCCUUACUUGCCUCUGUAUUUAAAACAGACUGAAGGAAACUUUUGAAAUUUACAUUGCUGUCAAAUCUUUAGUGAUUGAGGAGACCUUAUCCUAAAACUGAAAUACCUAUUUCUUUGGUAGAAAACUUUCUUCCCUCUAUACAAAAAGAAGACUUUAACUUCUCGUAGCAGCAGCCUUUUAGGGAAAUAUUUAAUGAAGUAAUGAAUGUCAAAGCACAUAUAACAUAAAUAACACCAGCAUAAGAUGAAAAUGGUUGCAAUAGCAGCCAACACAACUAGCUGUGUCUCUUCACAAUCUAGAAACCAGAUGAUUGACUUAUUGACAUACCCUUACUCUGGUCCCUGUAUGAUGUAGAGAGACUUUAUUUUCUUGUACCCUUGAUUUUCCCCCAAUCUUUGAAGAACUUCCAUUUUGUAUGGCCACAUGGUCUAGUAUAUAGUUGUUAAUCCUGAGAAGAAAAUAGAAUGCAAACAAGCAUCCUUGUUAUGAAAUAUAGAUUGAGGAUAAAUACCCUUAGAGGCGACAGGAUGUAUUUCUUCCAUGGAAUCCAUCCAAAUCAACAUGCUUGUGGGUAAGAACAUUAGAGACGAACAUCAAAUUCGACAGAUUAAAAAUUACUACAUAAUACAUUGGAAAUUUGGUUGGUCCAAAAAACUCAUGUUUUUAUUUUAUUUUCUUAUUUUGGUUUUUAUAAAUUGUGCAAACCAGAUGAUAAGAGUUCGUUUUGCAUGCCAACUUAAAGUAUGUGCAUGCAUGUAUUGAACACUUACAGAGAUGAAUUCUCAUUUCGAAAAUCUGAUGAGCAAGAACCGUUAUUUUCUGCUGUAGUGAAUUGAGGCUUUGAGUCUUCUAUAGCAGUACUUGGUGAUAUGAGCAGCAUUGCUCCAUUACCAAUCUCAUCUGGAGGAAUACUUUUGCUCUUUUGGUAGAUUAGAAUCUCUUCUUCAUUUGCAAAUGUAUUGGCAAACUCUGGUUCUUGUAGCAUGUGGUAAAGUUGCCUAUGAAGUCUUUCGACAGGUGACAAAAUAUAUUGUUUAAGCUUUGAUCUCUUUCUUUUCGGAACACUGUUAGGAUUCCAGAGAGGACCUUUGGCUGCUUCUCCUAACAAAAGGUGAACAAUAACAAUCAAACAUCAAUGAUAUUUUCAUAAUUGGAAGUCCAAAAUUACAUUAGAUUUUUGACAAUAUUAAUCUAUCAAAUCAAAGAAAGUUUGAAGCAAUGAGAAGUAAUAACAAAAACACAUAUUGAUAGUUUAUAAAGCAAUGUUUAACGAUUGCACUUCUAUUGCUUAUUAAGAGCCCUAAUGUGAUUGAACAUUUCAUUUGACCAUAGAUAUUUAAAAAUCACAGUAAGGGUUAAUAAUACAUCUUCCUGCAUAAUAUAAAUUGUGUCAGCCAGAGUGAACUUGAUUCUUUAAAACAAAAAGUGUAUAUAGAAUUGGACUGAAUCAAUUUAACCGGAUCGGUUGAACUCUAAAACUUGUUUAUCUGGUAUUUCUGUUUACUUGUUUAACUGUACAAACCUAUCUGAGAUUUAGACUAUAUGUUUGUAUAUUCUGAAUAAAAUAAGAUCUGUUUUGAUUAUACAUAGUCGUACAAUUUGGUUCAGUUAACAUACGCCUGAUAAUGAAGAUAAGAUUUGGAUGUUGUGUCUUAGGCCUGCAACCAUGUGGUCCUAAAGUCAAGAGUGACUGAUAAUAUGAUUUUCUAGGCCAAAGUGUGAUGAAUGUCAUAGUUGUAAGACAUCUAAUUUAGCUCUGAAGGGAUUUGACAAGCCGAUUUCUGUUGCCAAAGUGUUUUGCCUUCUCUGUCUUUAGCGUUUAACAUCAGCAUAGUAUCGAUGAAGCGAAACAUCUAAAUUUCACUUCUCCUAUUGGAAGUGCAGUUACUUCUUAUCCUCUCUUCAUAGUAUGAUACCUAAUCAGUUGCCAUGCUCUUCCGUCCUUUGGCACUUUAAACUCUAAAGCUAAUCUUUAUAGUUGAAAAGAGUAUGACAAAGUGAAACUUGAGAGAAUGUAUCAUUUAGCCUUAUAGUCUACUAUUCAACUUUGCUACUGGUUCCAUAGCAAAUAACCUAUUGAACUGUAAGAGGCUGGUCUGCUUCACAGCACAUUCAUAAGGUGGGGAACCAUUUCUACUUGCUGCACAACCCUAAAAUUUGCAUAACACUGGGUAAGUUUAUGAAGUAAUUCUUAACAGAGGGUGACCAUGAGACCCCAUGUUCCCUUUUGCACGCAGUGAAAUAUCUGACUUGUCCUAUAAGGAUAUCAGUUCAGUUUGUUGGAGCGUCUCUGCUUAGUUACAGGAAAGCAUAAGUACUUAUCCUUAGGCUGACAGUUCAAAAUUCUCCCAUCAUGAGUGCCAGGAAGUUACAUAUAUGACUCCCCACUUUGUCAAAAGUUACAUAUUAAGAGUCUCUGUCCUUUCUUAAAGGUUAAUGCUAAUAAUGAGUGGAAGCAAGAACGAAAAGAAAAACAGGGAGAAGAAGGGAAAAGAAAGACUGUUUACACUAGUGUUUCCUGAACAAUCUAUAAGAACACACAUAGGGAUUAAUUAAUCAAACGGAUGACUAUUAAAUUCCAUGUGUUAUCUAAGGAGAAGGUAAACAUAAAAAUUGGCCACAAGUUUAAGCAGCACACUGUGAAAGUAAAGGGAGUUAUUUUAAGUUUAAUUGGCCAAACAUCAACGAGAACUGUUGGUAUAAAGUAUAUAGUAGGAGUAAACUUUUGUAUUUUAUGUACUCACGGGAAUCCUAAAAUUUAAAUGACCAGUUGGAGAUUGGUAGCUUGCCAAUGGAAGCUUCUAUUCCCACUGUCACUGCUGUUGGGUCUGAGAUUCUUUCCCUUCUUCUCUAUUUUAUUUUAAGUUUUGUGCGUGUAUGUAUAUCUGUUUAUGUACUGCUACUACCAUUUCUCAGAAUUAUCCAAAACAAGCUUUUUUUCCCCAUUUUUUUUGGGGGUGGGGUGGGGGUGGUGGGGGGAGGGGGGUUAGCGGGGUUGAAGACCAAAAACUGCAGGGAUCAUCAAGGUGCUUCUCGAAAAUUUAGCUUUCCUGAUUUCACAUAUCCCAAAAUUUUCCUUAAGCUAUACUAUGAAAACAAGUGGCCGCAAAAUGAAUAGGGAGCGAUUAUCUGGGCAAACAAAUGGAAGACAACUGACCAGAUUGAAUGGGGAGUAAUUAUCUUCGUACAUUUUACUUAAACCCUUCAGUUUAUGUCUGGGCACGAUUCAAAGCAUGCUUGUUAAUUAGAUAAAGAAGUCAAGUGCCAUGAACAUAUAACUAACUAUUUUACCACUUGUAUAGAAAUACAACUGAAUUAUUUUACCAUUUGUUCCUUGCAUCUGCAUGCAGUUCUCUGAGAGUGAUCCUGGUGACCCUGAGCUUGAUAUGUCAUCUAUUUCCUCUUCACUACAAGCAGAAGAGCCAUCAGUUCCAGCAACCUUUUGUCCAACUUCUAGCCUUUGGUUAUCAUGAGCCAAGACAAGCGGCUUCACAUCAGAAGGUAACUUGGCCAGUAGAAAGCUUUGAGUUUCUUUGUUGGCGUGUUUUGGGAUAUAGUCGUUCAGACUCCCCUUAAUCCUCCAUCUUGAUCCACAAGCAUUGCACAGCACUGGCUUUUCAGGUGGUCCAGGUCUCCAAAGUGGAGUAUCUGUUUAAGUUCACAGUUCAUCAGCGCUGAAACUAUGAAACAACUAUAAAGGAAUUCUCUACAGCUGAUAAAGUUGUCCCAGAAACUGCUCAAGCAUAGAAUAAUUGAAAACAACUAUGAACAUAGAGCAAUAAAUCAGAAGUAUUAUGAAACUAAAGCUACAGCGAUUUUUUGGCAAAACCAGUGGAAAGCGCAUCCAUGUAAGAUAUGCCUCGACUUUUAAGAAUAUGUAAAAGAAAGUUUGUCCUUUGCAUUUUCUUCACCAGUUAAAGGACCCAUACAAAUUGAGGUAAACGGUGGUCGACAAAUGAUUAAAUGAAUAUGAAUCAUGAAGUAAAAUGAGUAAAGACAAUAGGUCUUGUUCAAAUCAGGAAACAUCAGAGAUUUGCACUGUAAAAAAGCUCAUGGAUUGACGCUUCACGGCCGUCAUAGACUGUCCACUUUGUCCUAAUUAACUGUGAAGAUAUAUUUUUCAGACUGCUGGCUUUGUCCUAAUUAACUGUGAAGAUAGGAUGCCUUACACUCAUCAUAAACAGACUCGCAGAUUGAGGCUUCAUAGCCUUCUUGUCCAUCAAAUACUGUAUCCAAACAAGCAUGAUGACAUACCCUUCUUCUACAUAAGUGUUAGAGAUAUUCGUAGAAUCUUGGACUAACUUUGGAGGGAGAGCAAGAAAAGAUCGCUAUGCAAUUUGGAUAUCACAAAUUAUCGAGAAAGACUAUACUUGUUUGAAGUAUUUUAUUGGCUUUAUGUAUUCCUCUUCCUUACAUAAUGGUGGCAAUCUCUAUUUCUAUUACGAAUCUGUUGCUUUAUAUGUGUUACUAGUUAUGCGUUUGCUUCAGGAGGCCAGUAUUUUGACUGCACUCGAUAUCGAGAACACAGGCGUUAUAGUGGGUAAUUCUCACUUUUCAUUUUAAAUUUUUCCCUCUUGGCCAUCCAACUUAUGUCACUAGAGAUUCUAGUCUACUGCCUUGGUUUAGUUCGUGUCAUAUAACAUGGCUUUCUGAAAAUGCUUAGUGUCAAAUCAUUCAUUGGCUAAUCAAAUUUGGCUGCUCAAAGAGAUUUUAAGGAAGAGCUAUGGAACCAGUUUUGCAACUGCAUUUUACUGCCUAAUAUUUCUUAGGAUUUUGUGUAUAAAGCAUGAAACAAGCUGUCAAUACAUAUUGACUUUAGUUUAAUGCUUUCUUAGUGUAUGGCAAAGCUACUGGCGAGGUGGUACUUUGAUUUCAUCUCUUACCUCUAAUGAUACAAGUUCUUAUGAUUUCACUUCCUGCAGGAUUCCUAAGGGAUACAUACCUAUCAGGAGACCACAUGUUCAAAGGUAAUAAAACAAUGUAAUCAAUGUCAAUCUGGUAUCAGUUGGUCCCUUUCCAUCCUUUUCUUUUUGGGAAAAAUAAUAUAUUUCCAGAUAUAUGCCUAGGUCUUGUUAAUCGAAACACUGAACAAAGACUUAUUCCUGUAAGAACAUCAAAAGCUGGUUAAAAUGCCGAUGCACUCUCCAACCAUGAUCAGCGAACAUUUGGUAAUUACACUUUAUACUUCACACUUCUUAUACUGUGGUCUUUGAGUUUUAAAUAUUGACUGAGGGCAUUAUUGUAAAGUUAUAUGUCAAUAAACAAUAGCAUGAAAAUCGCAUGUGCACAUUCAGUACUUUCUCCUCUGUGUCUGUGGCACUCUCAUUUCAUUUUCUGUUAGGCAAAACCCCGGAAACUGCUACAAUUAAGACUUAAGGAUCAUUGCCAAAAGUUUAAAUAAAUGGGAAUAAAUAGUGUGAUGCAUAUGAUUGGGGACCGACUGUGCAAUUAUCCUAUAUGAAUUCACUGCACGUGAAACUAAUGGUUGCUGUAUCUGAAAUCAACUGCUAUUUGAGUGGAGAGGUAACAAAGUUAAAGAAGUUCCAUUUUAUUCAUCCAAACAGAUAAAUCGUUUUAGGAAAUUCUAAAUAUCGGGUGUCAUGCAUGCAAGUUUUAAAUUCCAGUAAGAUCAGAGAGAAAAAUUAAGCAUUUGAAAUUCUGUAUCUUGACGAUUGAUAUCAACAAGAAACAUUCAAUUGAAGAACGAGAUGGAAGAUAAACAUGCAAGAUGUGAUAAAGGUUGUCAAAAGAACUCACGCCUGACACCACAAUGGAAACACGGCCCUUCUCUUCCCAUGAGAUGUGCUUGCAGAGGAUUCAGGUUUGACUAUGCUGUUGCUAACCGUUAAGCUUCCAAAAUUGUUGCCAGAAUUUAAAACAUAUGAGUGAGAACACAAAGUAACCAAAUGGAAAAAGGAACUGAAAAUAAAUUCAGUAGGCUAACAGCUGAUCGUUUCCGUGGCAAUAGAUUAUAGCUUUGUCAUUAACUACUAUCCUAUUUGCAAUAGUACCAUACUCCACUUUGGACAGCUCAUCAAAUUUUACUCGAGAACAUUUUCUCAAAAAUUGACACGAUAACUCCAACAGGAAGAACUUAAAAGCUCUUAGAUGUGGUAAAUCUUACCAAUUAGGCCUUUUGUCAAGCACUCAAGCCUUAUUACCGAUGAAUCUGAAGGCAAGAAACUAUAGAAAGUUUUUAGACUUUAUUUAAAUGAUAGAGUUGAGCAAAUAACAGAGGCGAAAAGACAAUGCUGAUCUUAGUAUUCUGGAAAUUCUGGUCUGAUUGAGAUUUGAAAAAUCCAAGGAGAAAGGGCCACAAAUUACAUUACUAAACAGAUUCAGAAAAGAAAGAAUGUAUUCAAUUUCAUUCCAAUUCUGGAAAUUGUAGGAAUCAGAUUUAGAUUUGAAAAAUCCAAGGAGAAAGGCUCACUAUUACAUCACUUAGCAGAUUCGGAAAUGCAUUCUGUUUCUUUCCAAUUCUGCAUUUCUGCACUGUUUCCCCUGCACCAAUACACAGGUUGAAAAACCUUUCUGCCUAGUUUUGUGAUUGGUCUGGUUGAGAGUACUGCAGGUGGAUACAGGUCACAGAGACUUAGAUAUACAUUCAUAUUUGGUAACGAAACCUCAUUUCUUGAAGCACAUUCAGAAAACAUAAAUAUAAGCACUGAGUUGGUUUUUUCCGUGUUAAUUUUCAGAAAAUUUAAUUGCUGAUACUGUUGGGUCAUGUUUGGGAUUCGAUUGUCUAUUUUCGUCUUCUUGAGCUGAGGGUCUCUCGGAAACAACCUCUCUACCUCUCCAGGGUAGGGGUAAGGUCUGCGUACAUUCUACCCUACCCAGACCCCACUUGUGGGAUUUUACUGGGUUGUUGUUGUUGGGUCAUGUUCACUCAGCUAUCUGCAGUUUGCAAAUGCUUGUGUCUUAGGGACUUCCUGAACUUGAAGGUUCUCUCUUCUGCUUGGCAUUUUUGUUGUUAAUUUAAGAGGAACUUACUACAACUUCUGAUGUCCCAAGAAGUGCUUCUGCAAUCUUUUUCCGUAACGCGAUAUCAGUGGCGGAGCCACCUUACAGGAAGGGGUGUCAAAUGACACCCCUUCGCGGGAAAAAUUCACCGUGUAGCUAGGUAAAAAAAUAAUUAUAUGUAUAUGUACUAUGUAUUGACUCCCCUUAAUGUUUUGGUAUGCUUACUUUUAUAUAUUUUGACACCCCUUAACGAAAAUUCUGGCUCCGCCACUGCGCGAUAUGACUCAUCUGCGCAAGAAUGCCCCUGCUGUUGAGAUGCUAUUCAAUUACGAAUCUGUGCUUAGUUUAACACAGUCAUGUAUGUCUCCGUUUUCGAAACUUCAUGCAUCUAGCAUAUUCAUGUUAUUAAUGUUGUUUCUCUAACUUGCUUACAGAAAUAAGAAUAUUUAUUUCAGAAAUGCAUUACAUAUCCAUGCUAUACAGAGAAGAUUGAUAUUUUUGCCUGCUCAUUUGGCAUAGCAUGAUCCUUUACAGAAUCUUUAAGUGAAGCACUUCCAAAAUUUUGAUAUAUUUUGGUAAUAACCUCCGCUGCAUGUAAGGGUGGCAAGUGGAUCGGUCCGGGCCCGGGACCGUUGGCCUAGUGGGCUAAGUGGGCCGGGACCGGUAGGACCACUAGAGGUGGGCUUGGGCCGGUUCUUGCCUUUGAACCGUUAGGACCGGGUAAAUGAAAAUAGCCAACGGUUAUUUUNAAAAAUAACCGUUGGCUAUUUUCAUUUAACCCCAAACUUUUUAUAAUUACAUCUUUUCCUUAUUUUCAACUAUAAAUACCCCCUCAUUCUUUCAUUUUUCUUACAAUAUCAAUAUCAAUCUAUCACAAUCUCAUUCCAUAGGGGGAGGAAGACUAAGAAAGAUAUUACCAUAUUUUUUUAAUGCUAUAAUAAAAUUACAAGGCAUUGCUUUGAAUAUCUCUUUACAAUAUUUUUGUCUUUAAAUUUGAAUUAAAAAAUUUAGGUCACAAUUCUAUAAUAAAUUUACAAGGUAUUGCAUUAGAUAUUUUUUUAACAUUUUUUUGCCUCUAAUUUCUAUUUAAAUUUUUUUUUUAAAAUCAAUUUUUAACCGUUGGGCCCACGGGCCUGGCCCGUUUAGCCCGGGACCAUGAGUUCGUGGGCCCGGUUCCGGACCGGUUCCUACAAAAAGACCGUUUAGUCCGGGAUCGUUAAGCCCAUUUAUUUAAGGACCGACCCGGGACCACGGCCCACUUGGCCCGCUUAGGGCCCAGACCGACCCACAUGCCACCCCUAGCUGCAUGUAUGGAGAAACUUAAGUCUUGUGGUUCUUAACAAUUUAGGCUACUAUCUCAGAAGUUAAGAAGCUCUUUAUCACAGAAUUGGUGUCGUUCAUCCUUGGUAGCAAAAAUGUGUUUGUCCUUGUUUGCCUGAUUUAGAAAAGUUAGGAUUCAGGCGAAUAAUUGUCUGAAGUGUAUGCUGUAGGUCUGACCUACUACAACUUUGUAGCUACAAAUUCAAUUUGGUGUACGUGGGGCAGUUAUGAAUGACUAUGCCAUUGAGUAUGAUUUGAACUAACUCCAAAGCGAAGGUGGGAAAUGAGGAAAUUUUAUCAUCCAUGUUAUGUGUUAUCCAGAUGUCUUUCUUAUGGUGCUUACUCUAUAUUUCAUCAUAUGCUUAUGCAAUGUGGAUUUGCAGCGUUUGACGAAGUUCCUCUGCACAUUCUCCAUCGGGUUCCUGCCCAGCUUCAAGGUAGUGUAUUUUCCAGAACUAAUACAAUGUGCUUCUCAGAAUCACAGGCUCACCAGUAUCAUG